UCCGUAGGUGAACCUGCGGAGGGAUCAUUACAAGUGACCCCGGUUUACCACCGGGAUGUUCAUAACCCUUUGUUGUCCGACUCUGUUGCCUCCGGGGCGACCCUGCCUUCGGGCGGGGGCUCCGGGUGGACACUUCAAACUCUUGCGUAACUUUGCAGUCUGAGUAAACUUAAUUAAUAAAUUAAAACUUUUAACAACGGAUCUCUUGGUUCUGGCAUCGAUGAAGAACGCAGCGAAAUGCGAUAAGUAAUGUGAAUCGCAGAAUUCAGUGAAUCAUCGAAUCUUUGAACGCGCAUUGCGCCCCCUGGUAUUCCGGGGGGCAUGCCUGUUCGAGCGUCAUUUCACCACUCAAGCCUCGCUUGGUAUUGGGCAACGCGGUCCGCCGCGUGCCUCAAAUCGACCGGCUGGGUCUUCUGUCCCCUAAGCGUUGUGGAAACUAUUCGCUAAAGGGUGCUCGGGAGGCUACGCCGUAAAACAACCCCAUUUCUAAGGUUGACCUCGGAUCAGGUAGGGAUACCCGCUGAACUUAAGCAUAUCAAUAAGCGGAGGAU
Molecule: ribosomal RNA, 551 nt
Filed under: Cladosporium sp. LD-N5
Lineage: Eukaryota; Fungi; Ascomycota; Dothideomycetes; Cladosporiales; Cladosporiaceae
Description: eukaryotic LSU rRNA
Rfam family: 5.8S ribosomal RNA (bases 186-339)
Source: RNAcentral